Molecule: long non-coding RNA, 2167 nt
Organism: Struthio camelus australis
Lineage: Eukaryota; Metazoa; Chordata; Aves; Struthioniformes; Struthionidae
Source: Ensembl
GCUUGGUGAAGAGGCAUAUGUCUUGUCAUCUCCAUGCUCCUUUCUUUUUCGCAGGUGCUGGAUCCUGGGUGCAUUCCGCUAUGGUUCAUCUGAGUCAUCUGAACAGUCACGCAGAUGUCAAAGCAACCACAAGCACCUUCACUGGGAGAGGAUUUGGGGAUGAAUUAACACAAGAUAGUUUUUGUCGUCUCUCAUCCCUCCUCUUUGUGGUGGAUAAUUAGCUGCAGUAGGGCCAGCUAGUGCCAGAUGUGAAGGUGUUUCUUUUAACUACAGAUGUAACGUGGUGCCACCUGAUGACACUAUGCAGCAGGACCGUCCGUCUUUUAGAGGAGAUGUUAUUGGAAGGUCUUACAGCUGUUGAAGUUCUAGUGUCGGUAGUUGUUACCAAGAUGGGAAGAGAAAGUAUGACUGGGAAGGGCCUCCUCAUUGCUCAGUCUUUCUCCCAUCACAGGAAACCGUUGUCUUCUAAUCCCUGCUGAAGGGAUAAGAAGUUUAUUAAAAAAUGGAUAGAUUUCUUGCCUCCCUCAGAACUGUAGACAAGAUUUUAAGACCCGGAUUCCAAAGUUCCGACAUCUGCCCUGCAGUCCCCUGGGUAUUUUUGGUCACUCCUGCAAUUGGAAUAAAGAUCACUUAUCACAUGCUGUAAGACUUGGCUAUUGGCUCAAGGCUGCACAUGAUCUUUGCCUCCAAAUUAGGCUUCACCGUAUUUCUUCCAUCAGCCACUGAAGCAUGGGGAGAUAAGAUGAAGAAAGUAGCAGAGGGUUGCCCGUCUCUGAGAACCAAAACGGGACAGGAAAAGUGGAAGAAGGUGCCUCCAGCAAGCAGGGAAUGGAGCAUCUGACCCAACUAAGGUGUGCUGGGACCUGAGGCUCUCCAUAUGCAUUUCUACAGCUGGGUGGCAGCAUUUCUGCAGUGAUUCAUGUGCAUGGCCUUUGGGACAUAUUUGGGAAUGCAAUGAACAACAGACCUGGAGAACCAGCAUCACAGAAACUGAGGUUAACAAGAUCUUGGAGCUUCACGACCAAGGGCUUGGUACCUCAUGGUCGCAUGGUCCAACUGAAAAGCACUGGGACAUCUUGCUCUCUGGACACCACCACUGCACAAAGCCCCUGCCAGGUUCCCAGGACCAUCCGUACAGCUGCGGGGCUGGCUCUUCCUCCACCGUAAUUCUGGGUUGCACCUGACCUGUAGGAGAAACCUUUCAGCUAAAAACUUGGAUGUGGCCCUAGGCGUCAAGAAGCAAGCAUGCUGCUCCAGAACUACGAUACGGAUAAAGCAUGGACACGAGGGAGAGCCACGUGGCUGUCCAGUAGAGCUUCCAACAGUCGUGUCAAGUGAUAAUCACUGCAGCCUGACACAAUGAGGUAGCUGUGGCUUGGAACAGGGGAGGGAACAUGGAGUCUUGCCUUUUAGGGUUUGUUGCUUCCCUUUUGCUGUACAAGGUGUCGCAGAGAGCUCUGAAGCUGGAUUCGCUGCUGCUGAACUCCUUAUGAAGUCAAUGGAGUUGCUAUUCCACCUCUCCGCUUGCUUAAAGUGUGUGUUGUAGAUCUCCCUUCACCCAUUCAUUCAUUUCUUCCCUUUUAAUGAGUAGGUUAAAUUUCUUGUGUGGUACAGCAAGCAUUUGAGAUGUGAAGGUUCCUUUUCCUCAUCUCCCUCUUAUUGAAGGUGGCUUUGCUCCCAGUAACUCCUGUCAUGACAUAAUUGGACCUUAUUCUCACAUAAAUACCAGAGUUAGAGUUACUGUUGUUGGGUUUUUCCAUUAUUUUGGGUGGCUGAUAUUUUUCACAUUCCUAUUCUCUUCUUAACGCAAAGCUGACUACAUUUACUAGGUUUGUUUGCCUUCCUCAGAAGGACUUGAAUAUUAGUCCUCAACUUGUCUGUGUAUCUCUACUUUUCUUACUCUCCCCUUUCAUUGAUUUAUGACACAUGUGGAGGCCAAGAGGCAGUACAGGACAUGAAUCAUAUAAAAAGAAUGCAGACAUUUCAUUUGCGUAAGUUAAUUGUUUUAUUUUUACCUGUCCCUUGUGUUUCUGCAAUCCUAUGGGUGGUGUCUUAGAAAAAUACAGAUAGUAGACUGGACCACUGCCAAGUGCUGCAAGUAUCACAUGCUUUGCAAAAGGUUGCAACAUCUUAGUGGGAAUGAUUAUCUUCACAGUAGAGAUGGUAA